RNAcentral lists this ribosomal RNA (519 nucleotides) under uncultured eukaryote. Its description in RNAcentral is "SSU rRNA". It matches the Rfam family "Eukaryotic small subunit ribosomal RNA", at positions 1161 to 1699 of the family's 1831-position model. The record is from RNAcentral.
AGGGCACCACCAGGAGUGGAGCCUGCGGCUUAAUUUGACUCAACACGGGGAAACUUACCCGGCCUGGACACUGGAAGGAUUGACAGAUUGAGAGCUCUUUCUUGAUUCAGUGGGUGGUGGUGCAUGGCCGUUCUUAGUUGGUGGAGCGAUUUGUCUGGUUAAUUCCGAUAACGAACGAGACUCUAGCCUAUUAAAUAGGCUCUCGGCUUUUAAACGCCGGGAGGACUUCUUAGAGGGACAGGUGGCGGUUCAGCCGCACGAAAGAGAGCAAUAACAGGUCUGUGAUGCCCUUUGUUGUCCGGGGCCGCACGCGCGUUACACUGAAGAGAUCAGCGUGCUUUACGUUCCUGCUCCGACCGGAGUGGGGAACCCAGUGAACCUUCUUCGUGAUUGGGAUAGAAGAUUGUAAUUAUUCUUCUUGAACGAGGAAUUCCCAGUAAAUGCGAGUCAUAAGCUCGCGUUGAUUACGUCCCUGCCCUUUGUACACACCGCCCGUCGCUACUACCGAUUGAACGAUUU